RNAcentral lists this ribosomal RNA (229 nucleotides) under uncultured bacterium. Its description in RNAcentral is "partial 16S ribosomal RNA". It matches the Rfam family "Bacterial small subunit ribosomal RNA", at positions 568 to 796 of the family's 1533-position model. The record is from RNAcentral.
UGCGCAGGUGGGCUUGUAAGUCAGUGGUGAAAUCUUGCCGCUUAACGGUAAAAUUGCCAUUGAUACUGCAAGUCUUGAGUAUGGUUGAGGUAGGUGGAAUGUGUUGUGCAGCGGUGAAAUGCAUAGAUAUGACACAGAACGCCGAUUGCGAAGGCAACUUACUAAGCCAUUACUGACGCUGAGGCACGAAAGCGUGGGGAGCGAACAGGAUUAGAUACCCUGGUAGUCC